Non-coding RNA from Camellia sinensis, 1810 nucleotides. NCBI's taxonomy places the organism in Eukaryota, Viridiplantae, Streptophyta, Magnoliopsida, Ericales, Theaceae. The record is from RefSeq and is a predicted model, not a curated record.
UUGUGCUUUUGGAAUGGUGGUUGAGGUGUUUAUUUGUUUCUGUUUUAGUUGAUUGCUUUCUUUGGGGGUGCUUAGCCUAUGAUAGAAUGGGCUUUUUGGUGUCAACAUAGUUGGGAUGAUCUAGCCUAUUGUGAUGCUUUUUGCACCCUCCCCUCUUUAUUAAUGUUUAGAUAUUUUUGUGUGUACAUCUUGUACCUUUCAUCGUUAUCAAUAAAGUUUUAUUUAUUUUGCCGAUCAAAAAAAAUAAAAUACAAUAAAAAAAACAAUAUCAAAACAGGAAGUGCUUUUUUUAUUUGCAAGUGGUGAAGCUGGGAUAAGAAGUAUGAUAACUUGACAGCUGUCAGUGUUCAAUAAAGUGAAGGACCUUGCGUAUUGUAGCAUGAUCAUAUUUACACCAUUAUUAUUCCUUCACCAUGCUUGCUUCAACUAUAUUAGUGGUUGUUUGCCAGGUAUUGGAUACAGCUUAGACCUUACUGUUCUAUCAAUUUAUUGGUAUGCAAAUUCCUUUUUUCUUUCCCCCUCUUUUUACUUCAAAUUAUCAUUCACAUGUGUUAUUUCUUUCAUAUUAUUGCUUGUGCUAGCCCUGGGAUUUAGUGGCAAAGAAAAUUCUAGGGUAUCGCUUCUAUGUUUUUUCAAAUAUUCAACCACAAUUCUAAUUUGAACUUCAUCAAAUUUCUAGAUCCUUUUCAUGAGGUGAAGACCAAACGAGAAAAGAAAAAAGGGGGGUGUGGCUGUGAAAAAUGCUGAAAAUCUCUGAUUUGUAUUUUGGAUAGUUGACUUUCCCCUUUUAGAGCUUGGUCAUGUAUGACUAAUGCUUUCUACCGUUCCGGUCCUACCGGAUCUGAUGAAAUUGUGGCCUUUUUGUUUUUUGAUUUCUCUGCUGUUUUCCCUAAUGUCAUAACAUGAGAUUAGGAUGACCACGUGUUUUACUAUGCACAAGGGACUUGGAUAUUUUUUCCUGCUUCUGGUGGAAUAGGAAUAAGGAUAUAACAGAAUCCAGGUCACAUGGCUUUAGUAACUCUUCAAGUCGUGGGAGUUAGGGGUGGCACUGAUCAUUAUGUUGGAUGAGGUGGCUCAACCCAAUUCAGCACUUCUGAGUCUGGAGUUUUACUUGGUAAACCUUCAUACAAGAAGGAAAAUGGAACAAAUAAUUACACAAGUGCUUCAUCUUUAGCAUCUGAAAUGGCAGGAAAUAAUAUGAAUCGGUGACCCCCAGCCCACAGGUACUUCUUUGAGACAGGUUGUGGAGGUUUAUGAUUCUGAUAUACAAAUGUGCACUGGAUAAGUUGCGGAUAUCUAACCAAUUUGUACUCUUCUUUGUGUUGGAAGCUUGGAGUAAAUCUGAACCUUUUAGCAUUAGCUUUUCUUUGGGCUGUUGGUUGCAAAGCAAGAAAUAGACUUCAAGAUAGAUAAUGGCAAAUGGGUCCUUAGUCUUAUUGUAACAUGAUCAUUCAGAAUUUAGCUAUUGUUCAAAGUUGUGAUUUUAAAGAUAGUCCUGCAAAUAAUCUAAUCUACCUCCUUUACUUUUUUGGUGUUGCAGCUUAAAACUUUUACUUGAAGCUAUACUUAAUUAUUGGCAUCGAUGAGGCUUCCCAUAAUGUCAAUGGGGUGCUGAUUGUUAAAGGGUAAUUUACUUUCAGAAGUAAAUUGUUGGUAGCAUAGGAAAACACGUACUACAAUCAACGGGUAUGUGGGUAAUAUUGGAAAAUGCGGAAUACAGACAAGGAACCAAAGAGAUUUAUGGAAGUAAAUCUGUCCUUGCUCUAUUUGGUCUUAGUUUCUAUUUGACUUACGUAAGUUUUUACAAUGU